Molecule: ribosomal RNA, 494 nt
Filed under: uncultured bacterium
Lineage: Bacteria
Description: partial 16S ribosomal RNA
Rfam family: Bacterial small subunit ribosomal RNA
Source: RNAcentral
GACGAACGCUGGCGGCGGGCUUAACACAUGCAAGUCGAACGGUUAAGCGCCUUCCGUUUUUGGGGGUGGGGAUGAGUGGCGAACGGGUGAGUAACACGUGAGUAACCUGCCCCCUUCUUCUGGAGAACCGCAGGAAAGUUUGGCUAAUACUGGAGAGGCUGGGUCUGGCGCAUGAUGGGUCUGGGAAAGAUAUGGUUUCGGUGGGUGAUGGGCGCGCGGACUAUCAGCUUGGUGGUGGGGUGAUGGCCUACCAAGGCGGUGACGGGUAGCCGGGCUGAGAGGGUCGACCGCACUAGUGCGGCUGCGCCACCGAGACGCCUACUACGGGCGGCAGCAGUGAAUAAUAGUGCAUGAUGGGCGCACGGAUGCUGCAGCGCCGCGGGGUGAGGGAUGGAGGUCGUAUGGUAGAGCACCUCUUGUGGCAGUGAAGCAGGGUUACCUAGUUUCUGGCUGGGUUGACGGUAGCUGGAGAAGAAGCGCCGGCUAACUACGUG